AGAAAGCGUAAUAGCUCACUGGUCGAGUCGGCCUGCGCGGAAGAUGUAACGGGGCUAAACCAUGCACCGAAGCUGCGGCAGCGACACUGUGUGUUGUUGGGUAGGGGAGCGUUCUGUAAGCCUGUGAAGGUGUGUCGUGAGGCAUGCUGGAGGUAUCAGAAGUGCGAAUGCUGACAUAAGUAACGAUAAAGCGGGUGAAAAGCCCGCUCGCCGGAAGACCAAGGGUUCCUGUCCAACGUUAAUCGGGGCAGGGUGAGUCGACCCCUAAGGCGAGGCCGAAAGGCGUAGUCGAUGGGAAACGGGUUAAUAUUCCCGUACUUGGUGUUACUGCGAAGGGGGGACGGAGAAGGCUAUGUUGGCCGGGCGACGGUUGUCCCGGUUUAAGCGUGUAGGUGUGUGUUCCAGGUAAAUCCGGUUCACUUUAACACUGAGGCGUGACGACGAGGCACUACGGUGCUGAAGCAACAAAUGCCCUGCUUCCAGGAAAAGCCUCUAAGCAUCAGGUAACAUCAAAUCGUACCCCAAACCGACACAGGUGGUCAGGUAGAGAAUACCAAGGCGCUUGAGAGAACUCGGGUGAAGGAACUAGGCAAAAUGGUGCCGUAACUUCGGGAGAAGGCACGCUGACACGUAGGUGAAGUGAUUUACUCAUGGAGCUGAAGUCAGUCGAAGAUACCAGCUGGCUGCAACUGUUUAUUAAAAACACAGCACUGUGCAAACACGAAAGUGGACGUAUACGGUGUGACGCCUGCCCGGUGCCGGAAGGUUAAUUGAUGGGGUCAGCGCAAGCGAAGCUCCUGAUCGAAGCCCCGGUAAACGGCGGCCGUAACUAUAACGGUCCUAAGGUAGCGAAAUUCCUUGUCGGGUAAGUUCCGACCUGCACGAAUGGCGUAAUGAUGGCCAGGCUGUCUCCACCCGAGACUCAGUGAAAUUGAACUCGCUGUGAAGAUGCAGUGUACCCGCGGCAAGACGGAAAGACCCCGUGAACCUUUACUAUAGCUUGACACUGAACAUUGAGCCUUGAUGUGUAGGAUAGGUGGGAGGCUUUGAAGUGUGGACGCCAGUCUGCAUGGAGCCGACCUUGAAAUACCACCCUUUAAUGUUUGAUGUUCUAACGUGGACCCGUUACCCGGGUUGCGGACAGUGUCUGGUGGGUAGUUUGACUGGGGCGGUCUCCUCCUAAAGAGUAACGGAGGAGCACGAAGGUUGGCUAAUCCUGGUCGGACAUCAGGAGGUUAGUGCAAUGGCAUAAGCCAGCUUGACUGCGAGCGUGACGGCGCGAGCAGGUGCGAAAGCAGGUCAUAGUGAUCCGGUGGUUCUGAAUGGAAGGGCCAUCGCUCAACGGAUAAAAGGUACUCCGGGGAUAACAGGCUGAUACCGCCCAAGAGUUCAUAUCGACGGCGGUGUUUGGCACCUCGAUGUCGGCUCAUCACAUCCUGGGGCUGAAGUAGGUCCCAAGGGUAUGGCUGUUCGCCAUUUAAAGUGGUACGCGAGCUGGGUUUAGAACGUCGUGAGACAGUUCGGUCCCUAUCUGCCGUGGGCGCUGGAGAACUGAGGGGGGCUGCUCCUAGUACGAGAGGACCGGAGUGGACGCAUCACUGGUGUUCGGGUUGUCAUGCCAAUGGCACUGCCCGGUAGCUAAAUGCGGAAGAGAUAAGUGCUGAAAGCAUCUAAGCACGAAACUUGCCCCGAG
RNAcentral lists this ribosomal RNA (1693 nucleotides) under Salmonella enterica subsp. enterica serovar Enteritidis. RNAcentral describes it as "partial 23S ribosomal RNA". It matches the Rfam family "Bacterial large subunit ribosomal RNA", at positions 1127 to 2803 of the family's 2925-position model. The record is from RNAcentral. Lineage: Bacteria; Pseudomonadati; Pseudomonadota; Gammaproteobacteria; Enterobacterales; Enterobacteriaceae.